This 146-nucleotide non-coding RNA is filed under the name Candidatus Kuenenia stuttgartensis. Lineage: Bacteria; Pseudomonadati; Planctomycetota; Candidatus Brocadiia; Candidatus Brocadiales; Candidatus Brocadiaceae. The record is from RNAcentral.
AAAUGGGUGAAAGUCCCAUAUCGGAAAUUGGUUGUUUGACCGAUUAGCUAUAUCUGACAUAUUGUAAAGGUAACUUGCAAUAUGAAAGCUCAGAAGUAAAAGUCCUUGCAAGCGAAGGGCAAACAAGUUUACGGGUCGUACCAUAA